RNAcentral lists this long non-coding RNA (705 nucleotides) under Cricetulus griseus (Chinese hamster). RNAcentral describes it as "lncRNA (ENSCGRG00015038150.1)". The record is from RNAcentral. Lineage: Eukaryota; Metazoa; Chordata; Mammalia; Rodentia; Cricetidae.
CAAGAAGGAAGUGAGUGCCUUCUCUCUUCCUCCUGGUCUCUGCUCUGGAGUCGCCAUGUGAUCCACCGGCAAGAGAGGGUGCCAGUGGAAGGCAUUCUCUCAUUUUGCCAUUCUCUGCCAGCUGGCCACCACAGUGAAUGUCUACAGAUGCUUCUAUAUCCAUCAGGGACUCGAAUUUCUCAAAUUUGUCCAUCAAAAUUUGAGUGAAGCAUUGUGAAACAACUUUGGAUUUCCAUAUACAUGAAAAAGAAAGUCCCCCUUUGAGCCCCUCUAUCCAUCCUCACCAACAUCAACCCUCUAUGUGGAGUGAAAGCAUGGACCUCCCUAAUUCCCACCCACAUUCCAGGGGACACCAGCAUCUAUUCAUGAGCCACCAUCUAUCUCUCAAUGUCCUUGUCCAUAAUCUUCAUUUUGACACUAUUAGCACCAUCACCCAUUUACAUUUGAAAAAGUCCCAAGAUCGUUCCUGUACUUCUGGAUGAAUAUGGGAUGCAGCAGAAGUUGAGCACUGUCCAGAAUGAGCGUAUUAGACCUCAGUGGAACUAGAAAGGACCACCAGACAGACCACAGUCACCAUCAGAUGACUCUGGUGUGAGAGGCAAGACGGCAGCCAGCAGGAUGUUGGUGGAUCACUUUGUAUGAAGAGUCAUGUUACUUAAAUUGUGUCUGCUUAUUUAUAUUUUAUUUUAUUAAUAUGCAAUUGAG